This 492-nucleotide ribosomal RNA is filed under the name uncultured bacterium. Its description in RNAcentral is "partial 16S ribosomal RNA". It matches the Rfam family "Bacterial small subunit ribosomal RNA", at positions 29 to 507 of the family's 1533-position model. The record is from RNAcentral.
AGUGAACGCUGGCGGUAGGCCUAACACAUGCAAGUCGAACGGCAGCACAGUAAGAUCUUGCUCUUACGGGUGGCGAGUGGCGGACGGGUGAGGAAUACAUCGGAAUCUACUUUUUCGUGGGGGAUAACGUAGGGAAACUUACGCUAAUACCGCAUACGACCUACGGGUGAAAGCAGGGGAUCUUCGGACCUUGCGCGAUUGAAUGAGCCGAUGUCGGAUUAGCUAGUUGGCGGGGUAAAGGCCCACCAAGGCGACGAUCCGUAGCUGGUCUGGGAGGAUGAUCAGCCACACUGGAACUGAGACACGGUCCAGACUCCUACGGGAGGCAGCAGUGGGGAAUAUUGGACAAUGGGCGCAAGCCUGAUCCAGCCAUACCGCGUGGGUGAAGAAGGCCUUCGGGUUGUAAAGCCCUUUUGUUGGGAAAGAAAAGCAGCAGGUUAAUACCCCGCUGUUCUGACGGUACCCAAAGAAUAAGCACCGGCUAACUUCGUG